GUGAGAGCCUUGUGCUACAGGUCGAUGGGGAGGAGCGAGGCACCACAGUUUGAGUCUAGGCAGGAAGCUGUGUUCAUCCCUGUUCAGUGGUGUUUGUUCGGUUAAGCAGUAGCUAAGUGUAGUCCUCAAGGGCCACCAACUUGAAUGUUUUUCAUAUCUCCCUGUUUUUCACACACAAUUUAAUAUAUUGAAUCUAAUCUAAUCUAAUGAGUACAAGGCUACAACUUUUCAAUAAACAAGAUAUUUAUUGUUGUUUGCACAGCAGAAGUACAGGUACAUUGGAAUAAUUGUGAUUCUAGGAGUCCGCUUUAAAAAAACACAUCUUUAUUUAAAGAGGGAGAGAAUAUAACAGUAAGCAUUCAGGGUGGUAGGCUUUUUCUAGCACAGUUGAAGUACCUUCAUAAGAAACAAGUUGUUUUUUACACCCAUGAUGCUGAGGUUAUAUUUCUAAUGAUUUACCUUUUUCUCUUAGAUCAAGCUUUGUGAUUCAU
Gadus macrocephalus (Pacific cod) is the source of this 491-nucleotide long non-coding RNA. RefSeq lists it as uncharacterized. The record is from RefSeq and is a predicted model, not a curated record. The transcript has 2 exons. NCBI's taxonomy places the organism in Eukaryota, Metazoa, Chordata, Actinopteri, Gadiformes, Gadidae.